GACGAACGCUGGCGGCGUGCCUAAUACAUGCAAGUCGAGCGCAGGAAAUCGACGGAACCCUUCGGGGGGAAGUCGACGGAAUGAGCGGCGGACGGGUGAGUAACACGUAAAGAACCUGCCCUCAGGUCUGGGAUAACCACGAGAAAUCGGGGCUAAUACCGGAUGGGUCAUCGGACCGCAUGGUCCGAGGAUGAAAGGCGCUUCGGCGUCGCCUGGGGAUGGCUUUGCGGUGCAUUAGCUAGUGGGUGGGGUAAUGGCCCACCAAGGCGACGAUGCAUAGCCGACCUGAGAGGGUGAUCGGCCACACUGGGACUGAGACACGGCCCAGACUCCUACGGGAGGCAGCAGUAGGGAAUCUUCCACAAUGGACGAAAGUCUGAUGGAGCAACGCCGCGUGAACGAUGAAGGCCUUCGGGUCGUAAAGUUCUGUUGUAAGGGAAGAACAAGUGCCGCAGGCAAUGGCGGCACCUUGACGGUACCUUGCGAGAAAGCCACGGCUAACUACGUGCCAGCAGCCGCAGUAA
Molecule: ribosomal RNA, 524 nt
Filed under: uncultured bacterium
Lineage: Bacteria
Description: partial 16S ribosomal RNA
Rfam family: Bacterial small subunit ribosomal RNA
Source: RNAcentral